This is a long non-coding RNA of Crotalus tigris (Tiger rattlesnake), 622 nucleotides long. RefSeq lists it as uncharacterized. The transcript has 5 exons. NCBI's taxonomy places the organism in Eukaryota, Metazoa, Chordata, Lepidosauria, Squamata, Viperidae. The record is from RefSeq and is a predicted model, not a curated record.
UGAAGCUCUGGCUCCAGCUCCGCCUCUGGCUCCGCCUCCAGCUCCGGCUCCAGCUCCAGCUCCGGCUCCAGAACCUGUGAAAAAGGCCAGUUCGAAGAAGCUGUCUGAAAAAGAGACUCCAACAAGUGAAACCUCUCCAAAGACGGAGUCUGAAAAAGAGAGCCCAACUAGUGAAACCUCUCCAAAGACAGAGGCUUCAGGAACAGAAGAAGAAGGGACUGAAGGCACUUCAAAGAAGGGAAGUUCAGAAGAGGAAGAGGGGGAGGAAGAUGAAGAAGACUAAUCCUACUAAUCCAGACAAGUGUUUAUUGUUAAAUAUUUUAUUAUUAAAUACAUUAUUUGUCAUUAUCUUUUUAUUGUUGCCGUUAUCCUGAGGCUUAAAGAUAUUUCAUAAUAGCCAUUCUCCAAUCUGUGUUGGGUUAAAAUUCUUAUUACUCAUGGCCCUAGUGACUACCAAUGAUAAAAUUUAUAGGUUUCCUGGUGCCACAAGGAUAUUUUAGAAAUGUGUAGAACAUUCACAUGAUGUUUGUAUAGUGGCAGGAUUACCCUGUAUGUAUGUAUUCAUUUAUUUAUUGUAUCUCUAUAAAAUUUUCAAUAAUAUUUUCAGGUUUCCAAAUGCAGA